Meriones unguiculatus (Mongolian gerbil) is the source of this 106-nucleotide small nuclear RNA. NCBI's taxonomy places the organism in Eukaryota, Metazoa, Chordata, Mammalia, Rodentia, Muridae. The record is from Ensembl.
GUGCUCACUUUGGCAGCACCGUAGUGAACGUGGAAUGAGACAGAGAAGAUUAGCAUGGCCCCUAUGCAAGGAUGACACGCAAACCCAGGAAGUGUUCCAUAUUUUC